AACGCACAUUGCGCCCCUUGGUAUUCCGGGGGGCAUGCCUGUUCGAGCGUCAUUAUCACCCCUCAAGCUCGGCUUGGUGUUGGGGCCUGCCCGUCACAGGGCAGCCCUUAAAAGCAGUGGCGGUGCCAUCUGGCUCUACGCGUAGUAAUACUCCUCGCGACAGAGUCCCGGUGGUGUCCUGCCAGAACCCCCCAUAUUUUUAAUGAUUGACCUCGGAUCAGGUAGGGAUACCCGCUGAACUUAA
RNAcentral lists this unclassified non-coding RNA (244 nucleotides) under uncultured Ascomycota. RNAcentral describes it as "sequence contains ITS2". Lineage: Eukaryota; Fungi; Ascomycota. The record is from RNAcentral.